ACUAUUUAGGUAGUGCCUCGUGUCUCACCUUCGGGGGUAGAGCACUGUCAUGGUUGGGGGGUCUAUUGCAGAUUACCCCGCCAUAGCAAACUCCGAAUACCGAAGAGUGCAAUCACGGGAGACAGACAUCGGGUGCUAACGUCCGGUGUCAAGAGGGAAACAACCCAGACCGCCAGCUAAGGUCCCCAAAUAUAGCUAAGUGGGAAACGAAGUGGGAAGGCUAAAACAGUCAGGAGGUUGGCUUAGAAGCAGCCACCCUUUAAAGAAAGCGUAAUAGCUCACUGAUCGAGUCGUCCUGCGCGGAAGAUGUAACGGGGCUAAGCUAUAUACCGAAGCUGCGGAUGCGUGCUUGCACGCAUGGUAGGAGAGCGUUCCGUAAGCCUGCGAAGGUGCCUUGUAAAGGGUGCUGGAGGUAUCGGAAGUGCGAAUGCUGACAUGAGUAGCGAUAAAGGGGGUGAAAGGCCCCCUCGCCGUAAGCCCAAGGUUUCCUACGCAACGUUCAUCGGCGUAGGGUGAGUCGGCCCCUAAGGCGAGGCAGAAAUGCGUAGCUGAUGGGAAGCAGGUCAAUAUUCCUGCACCGUCGUUAGAUGCGAUGGGGGGACGGAUCGCGGAAGGUUGUCCGGGUGUUGGAAGUCCCGGUCGCUGCAUUGGAGAAGGCGCUUAGGCAAAUCCGGGCGCAGGAUUCAAGGGUGUGGCGCGAGCUCCCUCGGGAGCGAAGCAAUUGGAAGUGGUUCCAAGAAAAGCCUCUAAGCUUCAGUCUAACGAUGACCGUACCGCAAACCGACACAGGUGGGCGAGAUGAGUAUUCUAAGGCGCUUGAGAGAACUCGGGAGAAGGAACUCGGCAAAUUGGUACCGUAACUUCGGGAUAAGGUACGCCCUUGUAGCUUGAUGCGCCUGCGCGCAGAGGGUGAAGGGGUUGCAAUAAACUGGUGGCUGCGACUGUUUAAUAAAAACACAGCACUCUGCAAACACGAAAGUGGACGUAUAGGGUGUGACGCCUGCCCGGUGCCGGAAGAUUAAAUGAUGGGGUGCAAGCUCUUGAUUGAAGUCCCGGUAAACGGCGGCCGUAACUAUAACGGUCCUAAGGUAGCGAAAUUCCUUGUCGGGUAAGUUCCGACCUGCACGAAUGGCGUAACGAUGGCCACACUGUCUCCUCCCGAGACUCAGCGAAGUUGAAGUGUUUGUGAUGAUGCAAUCUACCCGCGGCUAGACGGAAAGACCCCAUGAACCUUUACUGUAGCUUUGCAUUGGACUUUGAACCGAUCUGUGUAGGAUAGGUGGGAGGCUAUGAAGCCGGAACGCUAGUUUCGGUGGAGCCGUCCUUGAAAUACCACCCUGGUUUGUUUGAGGUUCUAACCUUGGCCCGUGAUCCGGGUCGGGGACAGUGCAUGGUAGGCAGUUUGACUGGGGCGGUCUCCUCCCAAAGCGUAACGGAGGAGUACGAAGGUACGCUAGGUACGGUCGGAAAUCGUGCUGAUAGUGCAAUGGCAUAAGCGUGCUUAACUGCGAGACCGACAAGUCGAGCAGGUGCGAAAGCAGGUCAUAGUGAUCCGGUGGUUCUGUAUGGAAGGGCCAUCGCUCAACGGAUAAAAGGUACUCUGGGGAUAACAGGCUGAUACCGCCCAAGAGUUCAUAUCGACGGCGGUGUUUGGCACCUCGAUGUCGGCUCAUCUCAUCCUGGGGCUGUAGCCGGUCCCAAGGGUAUGGCUGUUCGCCAUUUAAAGAGGUACGUGAGCUGGGUUUAAAACGUCGUGAGACAGUUUGGUCCCUAUCUGCCGUGGGCGUUGGAUAUUUGAAGGGGGCUGCUCCUAGUACGAGAGGACCGGAGUGGACGAACCUCUGGUGUACCGGUUGUGACGCCAGUCGCAUCGCCGGGUAGCUAUGUUCGGAAGAGAUAACCGCUGAAAGCAUCUAAGCGGGAAACUCGCCUUAAGAUGAGAUAUCCCUGGGGACUUGAUCCCCUUGAAGGGUCGUUCGAGACCAGGACGUUGAUAGGUCAGGUGUGUAAGCGCAGUAAUGCGUUCAGCUAACUGAUACUAAUUGCCCGUAAGGCUUGAUCCUAUAACA
This 2069-nucleotide ribosomal RNA is filed under the name Burkholderia ubonensis. RNAcentral's name for it is "bacterial LSU rRNA". It matches the Rfam family "Bacterial large subunit ribosomal RNA", at positions 865 to 2925 of the family's 2925-position model. Lineage: Bacteria; Pseudomonadati; Pseudomonadota; Betaproteobacteria; Burkholderiales; Burkholderiaceae. The record is from RNAcentral.